RNAcentral lists this ribosomal RNA (498 nucleotides) under uncultured bacterium. RNAcentral's name for it is "partial 16S ribosomal RNA". It matches the Rfam family "Bacterial small subunit ribosomal RNA", at positions 30 to 523 of the family's 1533-position model. The record is from RNAcentral.
AUUGAACGCUGGCGGCAUGCCUUACACAUGCAGGUCGAACGGUAACAGGUCUUCGGAUGCUGACGAGUGGCGAACGGGUGAGUAAUACAUCGGGACGUGCCUAGUAGUGGGGGAUAACUACUCGAAAGAGUGGCUAAUACCGCAUGAGAUCUACGGAUGAAAGCAGGGGAUCGCAAGACCUUGUGCUACUAGAGCGGCCGAUGGCAGAUUAGGUAGUUGGUGGGAUAAAAGCUUACCAAGCCGACGAUCUGUAGCUGGUCUGAGAGGACGAUCAGCCACACUGGGACUGAGACACGGCCCAGACUCCUACGGGAGGCAGCAGUGGGGAAUUUUGGACAAUGGGCGAAAGCCUGAUCCAGCAAUGCCGCGUGCAGGAUGAAGGCCUUCGGGUUGUAAACUGCUUUUGUACGGAACGAAAAGCCCUGGGUUAAUACCCUGGGGUCAUGACGGUACCGUAAGAAUAAGCACCGGCUAACUACGUGCCAGCAGCCGCCGCAG